CGAGGGGCGGGGACUCUUGUGGGGUGAGAGCAGUCAGACAGACGCCCUCGUUGUUUUCCCACAGCGCUGAGGUGGACAGGGGCACAGAGUCCGCUCCACGGUCCCUGCGGAGUCCCAGCCCAAAGGCCACUGGCCAUGGCGAUCUGGCUGUCCCUCUGCUUUUUUUCCACAGCGCUGGCUUUCGACGAGGAGCUCAUGGACACUCAGUUGGAGACGGAGGAGCUGAACUGGCUGGCGCUGCCCAGCAGCGGGUGGGAAGAGGCUGUGGCCGUGGACAAAAGUUUCCAGACCACACGAACGUACCGUGUGUGCAACGUGGAGCUUCCGAACCAGGACAACUGGCUGCGCAGUAGCUUUAUCCAGCGGGGAGAGGCUCGACUGGUCUACGUGGACCUCAGGUUCUCCGUCCGGGACUGCACGUCCUUCCAGGUGGCCGCUGGCUUCUGCCGGGAGACUUUCACCCUCUACUACCGCCAGUCCGACUCUGAGGAGACGGUCCCGGCCGCCGGCGCCGAGCAGCUAAGAGCGGCGUACGCCAAGGUGCAGGAGGUGGCCGCCGAGCACGUCUUCAGCCUCGGGGGCAGCGGCCGGGUGAACAGGGUCACAGUGAGGGUGUGGCCGCUCUCCAAGGCCGGCUUCAGGCUGGCUUUCCGGGACCGGGGGGCCUGCAUCAACUUGCUCUCCGUCCGGGUCUACUUCAAGAAGUGCCCGGCCACCGUCGCCAAUCUGGCCCACUUCCCCGAGGUGGCAACGGGCGACGGGCCGUCCUCGCUGGGGGUGGCGGCCGGCCACUGCGUGCUCAACGCCGAGGAGGACUCCGUCCCACUCAAGAUGUUCUGUGGCAGCGAGGGCGACUGGGUGGGAGGCGCCGGCGCCUGUCGCUGCCGCCGCGGUUACCGGAGCAAUGAGGAGCUCACUGCAUGUACAGAAAUUGAAGAUUAUGUGACGCUCACCCGCUCCCAAUCAUCCCGGGAUGUCCCGCGCCCCUCCUGCAGCCAAUCGGAAGAGCAGACUGCCCUCUUGCGAGCCAAUGGGCGCCUGCUGGAGGAACAGGCUAGGACCCUGGGACAACUGGUACGGGCGGUGGGGGCCCUCAACGACACCCUCAGCGCCAUCUUGCGGAGGCUUCCCGGACUCCUGGAAGGAACGGCCGAGAGUGAAUCCUCGUCGGGCGCUGAUCCCAGGGAGGAGGACGGAGCUCCCAACUAACGCCAUAGACAUUGGAAGGCCCAAACUGGAGGAAUCAGGAACAGAGGGCAAGGAACUGUCGACGUUUCGGGGUUGAGACCCGGUAUCUGGACUGAGCGGAGAGAGAAGAUGGUCAAUCUCUGUCUCCCAAACCCCAACUUUUCCCCGUCUUCCCAUCUCGUCUUACCACUUAUUCCCCCCCCCCCCCCGCAUCGUUAACUGGAGCUCCGGGCCAUUUUAAUAGCCCUCCCCUUUCCCCACAGACCUGUCUGUCCUCGGCCGCCUCCACUGCCAAUGGGAGGGCAAACUCAAGCUUGGUGGGGGGGGGGGGGCGGUAUGAACACCUUGUAUUCCUCAUGGCAUGAACGUUGGAAUUUCCAGCAGAGAAUAUCUGCAGAAGCUGGAAAUCCAAGCAACAGACACAAAGUGCUGGAGGAACUCAGCAGGUCGGGCGGCAUCGACGGAAAUGAGUGGAAGCCACCAGCUUUCAUCGGGACUGGAAAGGAAGGGAGAAGUCAGAGCAAGAAGAGCUUUGGUCGUAAAUGAAGACUUUCUGAGAUGUCUCCGAGGAGCGGCGUUGAACUUAGUUCCAUUUCCAGGUCAAAGGUCUCGACCCGGAGUCGACUGUCCACUCCCCCCUGCAGUGGGACUGCCCGACCCGCUUGUGGCUGGGAAACCCUUCCCGAGAGCGAACUACAUACAGAAGAUUCUGCGGAUGCUGCAAAUCCCGAGCGGCGCACUCAGCAGGUCAGGCAGCAUCUAAAGAGCCAACGUUUCGGAUCUGCUUCGAUCAUCAGGACGUCGGCCCAAAAGGUCGACACUUACUUCUCCCUCCAUAGAUGCUACCGGACCUGCUGAGUUUUUCCAGCAUUGAGAAUGUGUGUGUGUGUGUGUGUUGUGCAGUCACUGAAUGUCCCGGAGCUCAGGGUCCAGGCAGUUGAAGGCAGAGCCCCCAACAGUGAGGGGAUUAAAACCGGGGAUGAUCGAGAGGCCAGUACAAUAAAAUCAUAACGGGAAGUAUUAAAAUAUCACACUUUAUCAAUCAAAAUGUUCACAGAGGGCAAGGAAUGAAUCACAGAGAAUGAAAGGGGAAAGACGCUCUGGGCGGGUUUAAUUUACAACAGGAGGCAUCCCUAUCCGAUGGGUUGUGGUAAUUGAGAGGCGAGAGGUGGAAGGCGGGGCAAUAUUUGGAGCAGCAUCGCCCCUUAACCCGGGCCAUCCAAACGGGGUCAUGGGAUCUUGAACGGAGAGACGGUGGGAGAGGAGGUUCGGUCCGUUCGCCACGAGUGGAGGGAGGGGGCAGCAACCGGGGUGUUUCUGUGCGAUUCAGGUAGAUCCGUUCCAGGUCAUUCCCCAGGUUCCGUUCCGACCCGGAGAGACGGCUGGAAAGCGCAGUCGUCCGAAUUCCAGACACAGACUCCUCGACGCCACCCCACCCAGCUGGCGAUGACCGCAAUCCACCCUCCAUUCUCUCAGACACCCACAACUGGCAGUACCUGGGGAGGGAACUGUGGAUUGCAACGGGGUGACCGCCUGACCAUUGCGCAUUGCUGACCCAUCGGAGGCUGGGGAUCGACGAGGAAGGAGUCUGAGGCGAGAUUGUAAAGAUUAAUCCGGGCGGGGCACAGGGCGAAUGAGCACCCUUACCUAUGGGGAAUAAGAUCCCUCUCCCUGGGGAAGACAAGAUCUCCCUUCUCUUUCCCAGGAGGGGAGGGUGAAGAUGUAAGUGCACAGGUCUCUUUCGGGGGAGGGAAUCAGACAAGGACACUAGCCUCUCUCUUGGGGUUCGGACAGAAGGGCACUGUACACUCCCUUUGGGUGGGGGGGGGGUUUGCAGAGACAAGGGCCACAGGUCUCUCUCGGGCCGGGCAGAACAAGGGCACUCAUCUCACUUUGGGGAGGCAGAGGCACAGGUCACGUGUCUCUCUCUGGUGGGGGUAGGCAGAGACAAGGGCACUCAUCUCACUUUGGGGAGGCAGAGGCACAGGUCACGUGUCUCUCUCUGGUGGGGGUAGGCAGAGACAAGGGCACUCAACUCGCUCUUGGGGAGGCAGAGGCACAGGUCACGUGUCUCUCUCUCUGGGGGGUAGGCAGAGACAAGGGCACCGUUCUCUUUUUUAUUGGGGGCAGAGACAAGGUCAUCGAUCACUCGUGCGGGACAGGGACAAGGGCACAGGCCUCUCAUGGGGGGGGGGGGACGGACAUCUCUGUCUCUCUUCCCCCCUCACAUUGGGGUGUUUCUGGAACUAGUGGACGACACCGUGACCCGGGGGCGCUCUGAAUGGCGAUGUCCGAGCUGUAAUUUCAACGUUUUCGUUGUGAAUGGUGAAUUACAGUAAUGUUUUGCUGUGAUCACCGACUAGAACUCCUUAGAAAACGGAACAAAGAAGGGGACCAUCUUUAUUCCAUUUCCGAAGGUCUGGGGAAACAGAGGACAAAGACAGGGAGCAGGGGCCGUCACUAACCUGUUAGUCUGCUUCAGCGAGACCCAGGACACCCUCUCACCCUGUUGGAACCCUCUCCCUCCACAACGAAUGGUGGAAGAAGGUCUGGAUAAACGACUUUAUCUCCACUGGGGUUCUGAGAGAACCCUGCGUGGUUUCCGGAAGCGGGGGAUAGAUUACGGAACAGGCUCGAUGGGCAGUAUGACCUAAUUCUGCUCCUGUGCCUUAUGGUCUGAGCUCCACCUGACCCUCGAACCAUGGUAGGCGACGAUGAUGCGUUGCCUGGGGUAAUAAUCCACGGAGAAACGUCCCUGAUAAAUCCCGACGACUGGCCGGCCAGUAAUUCGGGGAGAGCUCCCGAAACAGGACCUACUCGCUCCCACCCGGAGGUGGGGAACCGGCUGGAGUUUUACCAGGGACCGGCAGGAUUAGACGGGAGCCCAGUCAGUCAGUCCUCUUUUCUGAGGUGCUUUUUCCCGUCAAGUCCACGGACCUCGUCCUGGUUGGUCCUGCUCCAGGCGGGGCAGGGGGCAUCACUCCGACGACCCUUCACAGAACAGGCACCCGGCCUCCCGUCCAUCGUCUACACCGCCUGAUCCGUCGGGAGAGCAGCCAGCAUGAUCAAGGGUGCCUCCGACCAUCUCCCCCCUCCCCUCCCCUCCCACCGGGCAGGAGAGCGCGUACCGCCGGGCUCAAGGACAGCUUCUACCCCGCUGUUAUCAGACUCGUGAAUGGAUCUCUGGUGUAUAGAAGAGUACAGCACAGGAACAGGCCAUUCGGCCCACAAAGCUAAUCAGUAACACCCAAACACUAACCCCUCCUGCCUACACCAUGUCCCUCCAUCUUCCUCACACCCGCGUGCCUGUCCAAAACCCUAAAAAUGUACCCUCGAUCGACCUCGUCGUGGCCUUGUUAUAAAAUCUUUAUUGCGUGCGUGCGCGCGCCUCACUUUCUCUGUAACUGCAAUGCUAUUCAACGCAACACACACAAGAUGCUGGAGCAAACAGUCGGCGUUUCCGGCCGAGACCCUUCUUCAGGACUGGAAAGAGAGGGGGCAGACACCACAAUAAAAAGGUGGAGGGGGACUUCACACAGAGAGUGGUGGGAGUGUGGAAUGAGCUGCCAGCUGAAGUGGUGAAUGCGGGCUCACUUUUAACAUUUAAGAAAAAUUUGGACAGGUACAUGGAUGAGAGGGGUAUAGAGGGAUACGGGCCAGGUGCAGGUCAGUGGGACUAGGUAGCAAAAUGGUUCGGCACAGACAAGAAGGGCCGAAGGGCCUGUUUCUGUGCUGUAAUGUUCUGUGGGAAGGAGAAUAGCUAGCGGGUGAAGCCCAGCGUGUAGGAGAGGUAAAGUGCCGGAGAGGCAGGAAUCUGACAGAAGAUUAUAAUACUGUGCAGUACAGGGAAAGGGAAGAGAUAGGCAGGUUAGAAGAGGUGAAAGGCCAGAGUGAGGAACAGAAGAGGGGGGAGAAGGAGGAGUUUUUUUUAACCAGAAGGAGAAGUCGCUAUUCAUGCCUUCAAGAUGGAUAUUACCCAGACGGAAUAUAAGGUGUUGCUCCUUCACCCUGAGAAUGGCCUCAUCUUGGCGCAAUAGGAGGUCACAAAAACACUCAACUAACACAAACAUUUACCUUGAAGUGUUAUGUACGGAACAAUCUAUUCGGGUGGUGGCACUAUAGCGUACCGGUUAGCACAAUCAUUUACACCACUGGCGAUUCACCGAUCAGGGUUCGAUUCCCGGCGCUGCCUAUAAAGAGUUUAUAUGGAAUUUCUGUUAUCACAUUUUUUUUGGGGGGGGGGGGUACUCUAGUUUCCUCUCCCGUUUCAAACACGUUCAAGUUGGGGUCACCGAGUUGCAGGGCACACUACGUAGGCACUGGGAAUGUGGCAAUGCUUGCGGGCUGCCAGGCACCAUCCUCACUGAUUUGGUUUAAUGCCAAGGAUGCUUUUCACUGUCUGAUUUGAUGUACAAUAAAAUGGCUCCAAUUUCCUCUCUCCCUCCUCAUUGCCGUUGUCACCCAGCAAAGGUUGGGGUCUGGUUCACCACCCCCCUGAACUAGGAGUGUGCUCUCAGAUCUCCAUCACCACACCCUUCCUCUUUGAUCUACGGGGAGGGGAGGUAACGUUAGUAGUUCCACAACAUGGCUGGUCUAACUGAGCAAGGAGGUGCUCUGGGAAAUCACUGGGCAGAAACCUGGCUCAGGAGGAAACAGGCCUUUUGGCCCAUCCACUCUGUGCAGGCCUCCAAUC
RNA transcript from Hypanus sabinus (Atlantic stingray), 5881 nucleotides. It is a transcript of the gene named ephrin type-B receptor 3-like, with no coding region annotated. NCBI's taxonomy places the organism in Eukaryota, Metazoa, Chordata, Chondrichthyes, Myliobatiformes, Dasyatidae. The transcript has 5 exons. The record is from RefSeq and is a predicted model, not a curated record.